Molecule: unclassified non-coding RNA, 377 nt
Filed under: Canarium harveyi
Lineage: Eukaryota; Viridiplantae; Streptophyta; Magnoliopsida; Sapindales; Burseraceae
Description: partial external transcribed spacer
Source: RNAcentral
GAGACAAGCAUAUGACUACUGGCAGGAUCAACCAGGUAGCAUUCUACGGGAYGCCGACACCCGCAUGAGCCCUGCCGAGCCGCGAGGCCGCGGGCCUAAAGACGGGUGCGGCGGUCGUCCGUCUCGAUGGACAAAAUGCGUUGCUUGAUCGGAUGGAGGGCCUCCGAUGAGCCACCCACCCGCAGCACGUAACAUUCCGAAUCCGAGAGCACGGGCAAAGAGCCUCAUGCGCCGAGGCAGCCGAGCAACUGGGCUAGGCGUGCCGGGAACACGAGGCUUGCCUGUCGUCCGACCCACCACCCGUGAGGGCGCGGGACGGAGAGAAACAAACGAGCCACCGAAUUCCUUCCGAUAGGUAAGCAACACAGGAUACCGAA